RNAcentral lists this ribosomal RNA (305 nucleotides) under uncultured bacterium. RNAcentral's name for it is "bacterial SSU rRNA". It matches the Rfam family "Bacterial small subunit ribosomal RNA", at positions 337 to 640 of the family's 1533-position model. The record is from RNAcentral.
UCCUACGGGGGGCAGCAGUGAGGAAUAUUGGUCAAUGGGCGCGAGCCUGAACCAGCCAAGUCGCGUGAGGGAAGACGGUCCUAUGGAUUGUAAACCUCUUUUGUCGGGGAGCAAAAGGCGCCACGCGUGGCGUUCCGAGAGUACCCGAAGAAAAAGCAUCGGCUAACUCCGUGCCAGCAGCCGCGGUAAUACGGAGGAUGCGAGCGUUAUCCGGAUUUAUUGGGUUCAAAGGGUGCGCAGGCGGAAGAUCAAGUCAGCGGUAAAAUUGAGAGGCUCAACCUCUUCGAGCCGUUGAAACUGGUUUU